RNAcentral lists this ribosomal RNA (375 nucleotides) under uncultured bacterium. RNAcentral describes it as "bacterial SSU rRNA". It matches the Rfam family "Bacterial small subunit ribosomal RNA", at positions 524 to 898 of the family's 1533-position model. The record is from RNAcentral.
UACGGAGGGUGCAAGCGUUAAUCGGAAUUACUGGGCGUAAAGCGCACGUAGGUGGUUCGCUAAGUCAGCUGUGAAAUCCCCGGGCUCAACCUGGGACUUGCAGUUGAAACUGGUGAGCUAGAGUAGGGUAGAGGGGUGUGGAAUUCCAGGUGUAGCGGUGAAAUGCGUAGAUAUCUGGAGGAACAUCAGUGGCGAAGGCGACACCCUGGACUCAUACUGACACUGAGGUGCGAAAGCGUGGGGAGCAAACAGGAUUAGAUGCCCUGGUAGUCCACGCCGUAAACGAUGUCUACUAGCCGUUGGGUUCCUUGAGGACUUAGUGGCGCAGCUAACGCAAUAAGUAGACCGCCUGGGGAGUACGGUCGCAAGAUUAAA